RNAcentral lists this ribosomal RNA (459 nucleotides) under uncultured bacterium. RNAcentral describes it as "partial 16S ribosomal RNA". It matches the Rfam family "Bacterial small subunit ribosomal RNA", at positions 338 to 795 of the family's 1533-position model. The record is from RNAcentral.
CCUACGGGUGGCAGCAGUGAGGAAUAUUGGUCAAUGGGCGGAAGCCUGAACCAGCCAAGUAGCGUGCAGGAUGACGGCCCUACGGGUUGUAAACUGCUUUUAUACGGGAAUAACGCGCCUUACGUGUAGGGCCUUUCAUGGUCCCUGUGAAUAAGGCCUGGCUAAUUCCGUGCCCGCAGCCGCGGUAAUACGGAAGGUCCGAGCGUUACCCGGAUUUAUUGGGUUUAAAGGGUGCGUAGGCGGGCUCUUAAGUCAGCGGUAAAAAUUCGGGGCUCAACCCCGUCCGGCCGUUGAAACUGGGGGCCUUGAGUGGGAGAGAAGUAGGCGGAAUGCGUGGUGUAGCGGUGAAAUGCAUAGAUAUCACGCAGAACCCCGAUUGCGAAGGCAGCAUGCCGGCGCCCGACUGACGCUGAAGCACGAAAGUGCGGGGAUCGAACAGGAUUAGAUACCCUAGUAGUC